This 85-nucleotide non-coding RNA is filed under the name Paenalicyclobacillus ferrooxydans. RNAcentral describes it as "Alicyclobacillus ferrooxydans c-di-GMP sequence". It matches the Rfam family "c-di-GMP-I riboswitch aptamer". From Rfam's summary of the family: GEMM was predicted in a large-scale screen for bacterial structured RNA regulatory elements. Lineage: Bacteria; Bacillati; Bacillota; Bacilli; Caryophanales; Alicyclobacillaceae. The record is from Rfam by way of RNAcentral.
UGUACAAAAAGGUAAACCGUUCGAAAGAACGGGACACAAAGCUGCGGGGCUACAGCAUUUAUGCCAUGCCAGCCGAGCUGCCAUA